CCUUCAAACCCUUCCCAUUUAUCUUGAAAGAUUCUCCUAUUUCUUUCUUUCCACAAUUCCCAAUAACAAUGGAAGCGCGAGACUUCUCAAUAACAAUGGAAGGCGAGACGGUCCAUACACUGAGAACAGAUUUGUUCUUCUCCGAAAACCAACUCUUAAGAAUAGGCACCUGCUUUACCAUGUCCUGUGACUGGCAGCUACAUAUGGUGCGUAUGGGGUCGCUCAGUUCUUGUAACUACGAAGUGCAUUGCGUGAUUCAAACAAUCUCAUCCAUUGCGCAUUGCGCAUUUCGCAGUGCUGUGUAGAAAGCUUUCUUUGAAGGAUGAGCUGCAUGAUUUGUUUACGACACAGCUCUCCUGUAGACUUCUACACACCUUCGACUGUUGCAGAUUGCAUUGGAAAGAAUUCUCUUUCAGAGGGUAAGCGAAUUAACUAUUUUAUGGAAUAUGAUAAUAGGAGCAGACGGAGGAAAUGGGUUUCGUCAAGAGGCAUUGGCAUUGUUUCACCAAAUGUAGAGAACAGGUGUGUAACCCAAUCAUUUAACCUCUGCCGGCAUCUUCCCAGUUUAAGCCUAAGUAGGAGCUUUGGAACAGGGUCCGGCGAUCGAUCAAUGCAUAACCAGAAGUGGGCUUGCUUCAGAUAUUGUAGUCCAUGGUGUUUUGAUGGACGUGCUUGCAAAAUGUGAAAGCAUCCAGAAAGCUCGCAAGUUGUUUGAUAGAAUACCUCAACGAGAGUUAUUGCAGAAUAUUCACAGCAUAUGCUAUAAACGGGUUUGCAACCAGAUCAGUGCACCUUCGUCAGCAUCGUUCCAGCGUGUGCGAAAAUGAAAGCUUUGGCAAGGGAAUGGACAUCCAUCAUAGCAUAAGGAAAGCUGGAUAUUUGUCCAAUUGUAUAAUUCAGAGUACACUGAUAGACAUGGAUGCAAAAUGUGAAAGUAUAAAAAAGGCCCGCCAACUGUUUGACACAAUGUGUAAUCGAGACGCGGUCUCAUGGACUGCCACGAUUUCAGGAUAUGCAAUGCACGACUAUGGCAAGGAUACCCUCAAACUCUUUGAACUAAUGAUGCACUCUGGAAUUCAACCCGAUCAAGCAAGCUUUGUCUGUGUUUUAUUUGUUUGCAGCCAUGAAUGUUUGCUGGAUGAGGGCUGUAAAUAAUUCAAUUUCAUGAGUGACUCCUAUUGCAUCGUGCCUAAAACAGAUCAUUAUAUAUUAUGGUUGACCUCCGUGUACGUGCUGGCUAUCUCGAGGAAGCCUUGAACUUUAUUAUCAAAGCGCCGAUCAAACUUGAUUAAGUUGCCUGGAUUUCUUUGCUUGGUUUUUGUAGAUUAGAUAAGAAUAUUGGGUUUGGAGAGUUUACAGCAACUCUACUUUUUGAAACCCUGUAAAUACUGCAGCUUUAAAUCUUAUUUCAAAAGUAUAAGCAGAAGUGGGUAGGCGUGGCGACUUUCAAAAGGUAAGGAGAUUGGUGAAAGAUAAAGAGGAGUUAAAAAGACACCUGGAUGCAGCUGGGUUGAAAUUGAUAAAAUAGUAUACGUGUUUCUUGCAAGAGACAGAUCACACCCACAAACACAGGAGAUCUACGCAACGUUGCAGGAAUUGUCUCUGUAAAUGAAGGUAGCAGGGUAUAUGAUAGAUCCAAGAUAUGUGCAGAGUGAUGUGGAGAAGGAGAAAGAUUUUCUCCACUACCACCAUAGUACGAAGCUGGCAAUCGCAUUUGGGCUGUUAAACACGUCCCUUCAAACAACCAGUAGAGUUGUCAAGAACCUUCAAUUAUUUGAUGAUUGCCACACUGCAAUCAAACUACUCUCCAGGAUAGUUGCAACAGAAAUUAUUGUGAGAGAUGCACACAGGUUCCAUCAUUUCAAAAUUGGAGAUGACGUUAAGUGAAGAAAGCUAUGAACAGAGGCUUGACCUAUAACAAGGUGAUUGCUAAAGACUCGUGGCGUAAAGAGGAGACCAACCUUGAGAGGAAGGAGUCAAGGGAACCUUUGUCACAGUGCAUUGAGCAUUACCCAAGUGAUCUAGUAUCGCUCAUUGUAAGAGCAGUACUAGUCCAUUGUUGGACUGCAGAGCAUGCAACAUUCUAUGGUGGGAGGGAUGUCUUUGGAACCAUGGCUUAUUGGUCAAUUUCCAUUCAACUCUUAUUCAAUAAAAAUCCCUGAGAAUCUCAUUCUCUUGGCCAGCUUGCCUUGUAGUUGUUGCCAUUGUGAUACUUGCAAUCUAUUGAUAUACAAGUGGCUCAUCCCUAUCAAGCAAUUUCUUUGCACCUUCGUCUGCCCUUUUCCUCUCUUCAGCUUGAUUCAUCUACAGAUCACGUUAUUGUUUAUGAUUGAAAGCAACCAGUAAUGGGUGGGAGCUUGAGAUUUUCAAGAUUUUACCAUCUACUCUUACCCUACAUAUCAGAAAUUGUUUGAUCAUCUCAAUGAAACAUAUUGUAACCAUUUCAAAUCUCCCUGCAAAGUUCUUGGUUCUGCUUUCAGAUCAACUAUUCUUUCCUUGUUCAUCUCAGCUUCCUCCAUCUUUCUUGGCUUCAGCUUAGCCCCUGCAAUUAUUGCAGCUCUAGUGUGAAUCUCAAAAGAUUUCUGUAAGGACUUCACUACCUACUAGCGAAUUAUGUUUUUAAUUGGUUGGGUUAGUUUGGACACCAGAUCUUCUACCAGAGCCUUUUUUCCUUUCUAUUUUUAACCAGAUGGUUAAGAACCAAUAUUGUUCUGAUUGUUGUGAAUGUCUCAGAGCUAAAGCAAGGAGAAAAUGUUUCAGGUGCAGAUCGGAAACCUCCUUUGCAGAGUCCUCUUCUCAAUUCUGGUCUCCUUAGUACAUCAGAAGACAGCUGAUAAAUGAAAAAUGAAAUGGAGUGGGGAGGAAGACAGGCCUUGUAAAGGCAGAUAGUAUCAUAUCUGAUAUCUCCUUCUUACAAGGCACAUUAAUCAUUCCAAUGGGAAGGCAGUCGCAUCGAAAUCCACCAUAUGUUAUUGCUUCCGAAGUAUAGAUUUCAUGAUUAAGAUAGGCGGAGGGGAAAAUACAUAAGCCACUUCAAUUAAUAAAAAAUGUGGAACUUCUCGUUGAGCUCUGGAUGCUGAUAAAUUUCUAGUCUAUUUGAAUUGUCUGCAGGUUGCAUGUAGGGACUUUCCUCACCCACAUUAGCUUUGAAUGAAGUGUCCAACGUUCGUCAUGAGAAAUACUGUGAAAAGUAUUAAUUCAUGGUUGGACUGCGGGGCAUGCUACUGUUUGUGGUAGUGGUUCUUCUGGAACGUGUCAACUCCCAUUCAAUUGAAGUCCAUGGCAGACCCUCAGUCUCCGGGUGACCUUUCCUUGUAGUAGUUGCCAUUGUGAUGCUUAAUCUUUUGAUAUACUAAUAGUUCAUCCCUAUUGUUGAAUUUCUUUCCAUCUUUUUAUGUCCUCUUUCUCUUCAGCUUGAUUUAUUCACAGAAUGUGUUGUGAUUUAUGAUCAAAAGAAACCACAAAUUUUUACCACUAGAUGUGACUAGAAGGCAAUUAAAGUCUGAUAGUUUACAUUCAAUGUGUUAUAUAAUACUUAUCUCCAUACCUACAUCAAUACAUGCCAUCAAACAUAUUAUAAAUUUUAA
Cryptomeria japonica (Japanese cedar) is the source of this 3587-nucleotide long non-coding RNA. RefSeq lists it as uncharacterized. The transcript has 4 exons. Lineage: Eukaryota; Viridiplantae; Streptophyta; Pinopsida; Cupressales; Cupressaceae. The record is from RefSeq and is a predicted model, not a curated record.